AGGUAAUCUCCUCAAUAAAGGUACUAUGGUAGCAUCAUUCGGCUAAAGAAGCCACAUAGGAGCCAGAAGAGGAAAUGAAUGCCAAAUACCCACAUCUGUUUGUGACCACUAGUAAGUCCAAUUUGGAGGACCAAAUUUUUUUUUUAAAGGGGGAAGAUGUGAUAGCUCGAAAAUAUCCUAUCAAUUUCCGUCAAGUCAUGAAAACUUUUAACUCUUAAAAAUAAAUUGAUGCCAUGAAUGAAGAGAUAAAGUCCAUGAAGGACAAUGACAUUUGAGAUCUUGUCCCAUCGCCUAAAGAUGUGAAAUUCAUUGGU
Molecule: long non-coding RNA, 314 nt
Filed under: Carica papaya (papaya)
Lineage: Eukaryota; Viridiplantae; Streptophyta; Magnoliopsida; Brassicales; Caricaceae
Description: long non-coding RNA (CPAP_LNC006478)
Source: RNAcentral